UACAUGAUAGCUCAAGGGGGAGAUUAUAUUUCAUUCAGAAAAAGAGGGGAGGAAAACAGGUGGAAUUAAAGCACCAGUAAACAAAUGAUCACACAUAUAUUUGACCUCAAGAAUAUCAGUGUCGGAAAAUCCUCUGUUGUGCCUAUUGUGGGAAAAGUACAGAUUGUAAAUCACAAGUGAUUAUGCAGGAGAGGAUCCCCAUUGUAGAAAAGCCAUAGCAAUGCGAGAAAUGGUUUAGUCUGAACAGCUUUCUUGGGGUUCAUUGAAGGACACAUAUAGGACAGAUGGCCUGCAAGUGCUUUCAAUGUGGUAAAUGCUUUAGCAAGCAUAGCAGCAUCAGAGGACUCACACCAGGGAGAAACCGGAAGUGCCUGGUUUGAGGGAAAAGUUUCAUUCGAAAUUCCCACCUCAUGAGACACCUGAAGACUCACCCUGG
Molecule: non-coding RNA, 436 nt
Organism: Pseudonaja textilis
Lineage: Eukaryota; Metazoa; Chordata; Lepidosauria; Squamata; Elapidae
Source: RefSeq, a predicted model, not a curated record